UAGCAAGCACUUGAACAGAUUUUGAACUUUACUAGUGAAAGAGAUUGAAGUGAUUUCAAUGGGGCUUCACUCAGUACUGAGGAUGAAUGAUUGCUUUUAUGAAGAGCACUUCAAACUGUAAUUCUGCAGCGAGUUUAAUUAAAAAAAAACAUGCAUAAUUUUAACUGCUAGGGUUGUGUUCUUCUAUUGGACGAAUUAUUAAGGUUGUGAGCUUUAUUCUACAUUUUAGAAUUUAAAGCGGAGUCAGGUUAAUAUUAGAACUAUAUGGGGCUGUGUGCUGUUUUGGAAAUCAAACUACAUUUCAGAGUAGAUUUUUAUUUUUACAAAUCUCAACAAUGAAACAUAUACACUGUAUAUAAUGUUUUUGGCUCCAAGUGUGUAAGAAGCCUGGCUGAUUUUUCCUCUAAAUUGAUACAAGCAAAGCAUAGUAGUUACAUAUUUUGGAUAAGCAGCCAUGUAAGACUAGUGAUCUCAAAUAUUGGAGUGGACUUGUAAUAUCUUGAUAAUACAGAUAAUGAGUUUCGUAAUGACUGGUUUGUUCUUAUUGACGCUCCUUAAUUUGUAAUUGCCUCUUUAUAGAGUCUGCUCCCCAUCAUGUCUUUCUAGGACUGGUCUACCAAAUUUGGCGCCGAGUUACAACUCUAAGACAGCCAUUUUGCAGCCUACAUUUUCUUCUCUUUCUGCUUGUAUCAAAUUAAUCAGAUAUAAGUUAGAGAAAGCUUCCGACAUCUAAACAGAUGAAGAUCAAUUGAUAAAUCAACCCAGGAUUCACCAUACUUUCAAGUGGGAAGAGAAAGGUGUCUUCAAAAGGUGCUUUGGACCAGACUGGACUGAAUCAAACUCCAGGAUAUCCCCGGAUCUCCAGU
Struthio camelus australis is the source of this 866-nucleotide long non-coding RNA. The record is from Ensembl. NCBI's taxonomy places the organism in Eukaryota, Metazoa, Chordata, Aves, Struthioniformes, Struthionidae.